Molecule: long non-coding RNA, 611 nt
Organism: Patella vulgata (common limpet)
Lineage: Eukaryota; Metazoa; Mollusca; Gastropoda; Patellidae
Exons: 3
Source: RefSeq, a predicted model, not a curated record
UCUUUCUUGAAUAGGCGACUGGCGAAUCUGAGUGAGGAGAGUUACCAGUGUGAAUGCAAGUAGAAUAUCGACCUACAUAAUAUCAACACUCAACAACUGGCACAUAUAUAUGUUUGUAUUACAUGUAAUCCAAUUUAAAUUUAUUCUAUCUUUUUAUUCUUGGGGUCAUUUAUUAUGUAAACUAAACUGAACGAUCUGGAUUCAUUUAAUCCCUAUACUGCUGUCUAGACGUAAUGACAUCAAUUGGUGAUAUAUGUUAUAAAGCAACAUGGGUAACAUCAUAUACUUGUGAUGUAUGCAAUUCGGAUUCAUUUUAUCACUACUGCUGUCUAGAUGUAAUUGAUAUAUGUCAUAAAGCAACGUGUGUAUGUAACAUCAUGUCUUAUUUAUGUCUUAUUACCAACACCUAGCAAAUGCCUUUUACAUCAUAAUAGACCAAACGUUUUAUUUUAUAACACCCUAUUAGUUUUUUCCAUCACACUAGACCAUACGUUUAUUUUAUUAUAUACAAUUAACCCUUUCCUGUCUAGAAACCUGAAUUUAAAUCUAUAUUUGUAUUCUCGUAUAUUAUUUUAAUUACAACAAAUCUAUAUCAGUAUUCUUAAAUUAAA